AGCAGUGCUCAUAAAAACUCCCGGGCCUGCCCCACCCUGACCUCUUUGCUUUCAGCCAUGCCUUUGAGCUGUGAAGCGUGUAAGGUGUGUAUAGAAUGAGCAGGGGGAAGGAUCCCUCCAGUGACUGGGUCUCCUGUGUGUGCUGAGCUCUGGCUCCGGCAGGUUUUCAUCAGGUUGGAACUCUUCCACCAAAUCUUAAUACGAUGCCCAUGAGCAUGAACAAGACUCUACGAAUCCUAAUGAAAAAUGAAGUCCCUCCCCAUCCCCCAACAUUUCGGCAGUACUAGGGGGAUCUUGGACGCUAGGCACUCUAAAGAAACUCACUGUCCCGGCUGUGUAGGGAACCGGGUUUCGUGAAUAGCCGUUGUUCCAUGCAGUGGAAAAGAAGCCUAGCUCCUAAUCACGCUGCCUUCGGCUAACAGGACAUUGUGAGUAUGGAAAGGUCGGUGACUCAGAGGGGAUAGAAGAGGAGAAACCGGUCAUUGGACGGGUUAGCGUGUGUCUUAUGUAUUAAAGAGCUAUGCAUCAGGAGACCUGGUCGCUUUCCUUUUCAAUGGAGCUGCUUAGUUGGCGACAUCCGGGAGACCUUUAAACCUUGAGCUCUGUCGAUUAGCCAGACCUUUCCCUGCUAAGGUCAAGUCUGUGAAAACCUGUGAACAUUCACCAUCACCUAAAGUCUGCAGCGUGGGUAACAACUGCGCUCAGCCCAUUGACUUGGUGCAAAAGUCAGAGUUGGCAAUGGAGAUAGGGCAGACAGAAAUCCUCACCUGAUCCACAGGCCCUGCUCAAGCUAACAGAGGAGGGUCAUGUAGGGUCCACCUCUGUCUCUGGACACCGCUCAAUCUUCCCUGCCAGUGAUGGCCCAGAGACUAUGGUGAUGGGCGCCAAUGAAAGAAUCUGCAUAGCUUGGCCAGCAUUGAGAAAGAGACGAAGAGGAAAUCUGUUAUCUGUGAAGUGCUCCAAAGGGCAUGUGUUUUCAAGAGUUCUCCAGGUGCGGAUACCCCUGGAUCCCUCCAUGAGACUUUUUCUCUCUCUCCCAUUCAGACCUCUCCAAAUUUACUGAACUCAGUCUAAACCCUGCCUCUUGUAUGUCUGGGCAGUGGGGGAGGCCAGGAAAUCAUCAUUAAGCAAAACUCCUGCAUGAUCCUCCGAAUGCUCCAAUAAUCUAAGGAAUGCUGGUGUCCUGAGUUCCACUCCUGGGCCCUUAGGGGAAGGCAGAAGACCACUGCACAAAAACCAUCAUUCCUGGGGGGACAGUGUCUUAGCUUUAUCGGACCCUUUGGCUCAUAUAGGGUCAACAGCAAGCCAAGGUGCUUUACCCUAGGCUCCAAAUUCUAACCUGCAUUCCCCAAGUCAUCUGUAGAACAAAGCGUAUUAAGGAAAUCUCUUUUUUUUCACUGGUGGAAGUGAAACAAGCCACUAGACUGUUGUACUUGAAAUUUUUUAGACGGUAAUAAGCAAAGUUUACACGUAGGUUUUGAGUGGAAUAUUUGUAUUUUAUAUGUAAAUGUGGGUGAGUUAAAA
Long non-coding RNA from Chrysemys picta bellii (western painted turtle), 1524 nucleotides. Lineage: Eukaryota; Metazoa; Chordata; Testudines; Emydidae. The record is from Ensembl.